RNAcentral lists this ribosomal RNA (388 nucleotides) under uncultured bacterium. RNAcentral describes it as "bacterial SSU rRNA". It matches the Rfam family "Bacterial small subunit ribosomal RNA", at positions 30 to 414 of the family's 1533-position model. The record is from RNAcentral.
AGUGAACGCUGGCGGCAGGCCUAAUACAUGCAAGUCGAACGGCAGCACAGCAGAGCUUGCUCUGUGGGUGACGAGUGGCGGACGGGUGAGGAAUACGUGGGAAUCUGCCCAGUCGUGGGGAUAACGUAGGGAAACUUACGCUAAUACCGCAUGCGCCCUUCGGGGGAAAGCCGGGGACCUUCGGGCCUGGCGCGAUUGGAUGAGCCCAGUCGGAUUAGCUAGUUGGCGGGGUAAAGGCCCACCAAGGCGACGAUCCGUAGCUGGUCUGAGAGGAUGAUCAGCCACACUGGAACUGAGACACGGUCCAGACUCCUACGGGAGGCAGCAGUAGGGAAUAUUGGACAAUGGGCGCAAGCCUGAUCCAGCCAUGCCGCGUGAGUGAAGAAGG